CCUACGGGUGGCAGCAGUGAGGAAUAUUGGGCAAUGGAGGCAACCCUGACCCAGCGACGCCGCGUGAGUGAUGAAGGUCUUCGGAUCGUAAAGCUCUUUCGGAGGGGACGAGGAGUACGGUAGCAACUCAAGAAGGCCUGGCUAAUUUCGUGCCAGCAGCCGCGGGAAUACUACGGGGGAAAGCGUUGUUCGGAAUUACUGGGCGUAAAGGGAGUGUAGGCGGUUUAGUAAGAUAGGGGUGAAAUCCCAGUGCUUAACGUUGGAAUUUCCAUUAAAACUGUUAGACUGGAGUUUGUGAGAGGAUAGUGGAAUUCCCAGUGUAGAGGUGAAAUUCGUAGAUAUUGGGUAGAACACCAGUGGCGAAGGCGACUAUCUGGCUGUACAUUGACGCUGAGGCGCGAAAGCGUGGGGAUCAAACAGGAUUAGAUACCCGAGUAGUC
RNAcentral lists this ribosomal RNA (440 nucleotides) under uncultured bacterium. RNAcentral's name for it is "partial 16S ribosomal RNA". It matches the Rfam family "Bacterial small subunit ribosomal RNA", at positions 338 to 795 of the family's 1533-position model. The record is from RNAcentral.